UACGAAGGGUGCAAGCGUUACUCGGAAUUACUGGGCGUAAAGCGUGCGUAGGUGGUGAGUUAAGUCUGUCGUGAAAGCCCCGGGCUCAACCUGGGAAUGGCGAUGGAUACUGGCUCGCUAGAGUGCGGUAGAGGAGAGUGGAAUUCCCGGUGUAGCAGUGAAAUGCGUAGAGAUCGGGAGGAACAUCAGUUGCGAAGGCGGGUCUCUGGGCCGAAACUGACGCUGAGGAGCGAAAGCGUGGGGAGCAAACAGG
Molecule: ribosomal RNA, 253 nt
Filed under: uncultured bacterium
Lineage: Bacteria
Description: partial 16S ribosomal RNA
Rfam family: Bacterial small subunit ribosomal RNA
Source: RNAcentral